GUGCUUCAUGGCGCUGUGGAAUCCCUCGUUCUGGGUCCAGAUUUCACUGGGCUGCUUUCCAAUUCCUCGCCCCUCCAGCCCUUCCCCUACAGACAGCCUUGGAAAUCUAGAGGAAAGGGGCGCCAAGAAAGGAGAGGAGAGAAAGUGAAGGAUGAGAAGGUGUAUGUAGAGCGAACAGACGUCAAGAAGAUGGUGAUGCGUCUCCCCAUCGUUUUCACCGGGAUUUCAUCCUAGCUCCGGGAAGGAUCUCGGCGUAGGAGUUACUGGAACAAAUCACCACCACCUGGAUGGCUUAGGUCAACAGAAAUGUAUUCUCCCACAGCUUUGGAAGCUUGAAGUCUGAAGUCCAGAUGUUGGCAGGGCCACCCUCCUCCAGAGGCUCCAAGGAAGAAUACUGCCUUGUCUCUUCCAGCUUCCACUGGUUCUGGCAUUCCUGGGCCCAGUCACUGCCCCCAUCGUCACGUGCUGUUUUCCUCUCAUAUUGGAUCUUAAUUUCCUGACCAGAGGUUGAACCCACAUCCCCUGCAUUGGAAGUUCGGACUCUUAACCACUGGACCAUCAGGGAAAUCCUAGGUGGCUGAGAUGGGGCCUGAUGACUCACGUGUGCUUGAUCACUGCUCCAUAAAAGUUUACUGAAUCAAUGGAUGAGUGAACGAGUGAAUGAGAAGGAGAGGAGGCCAAGAGAUACAGAGAUGGCAAGAAGCUUGCUGGCAUUGGUUCUGCUCUUUGACAGUGUCUUCAAGAACACAAAACUCUUUCCAUUCUACCAUCCUUAGUGUGCUGGGAUACAACCACAUGCUUGUUACUUCACGCAUGCAAAUAGCAGACACUGAAUCCUUCAUCAGGAAAAGAAGAGAUUCUUAUCAGAAGACAUGAAGCUUUCCAAGAACUAUGUGCCCUGGGUACCUCCAGCUACAAGAGAGAUUGGAGAAAUAUGUGUUUAGACUUUUGGCAUUUAAAAUGGAAGAGAGAGGAGAUUUGAGUUUGUGAACAAAUAAAACAGCCUCCAUAUGGUUCUCUGAUAGCUGGUAUGGUAGAAAAGGUACAGAAGACUCCCAAGAUGUAAAACAAUAAUCUAAGCAUUUUACAGAUGUCAUUUAAUUUGAUCCUCACAACAACUCUGACAUACGUCAAAAGUAUUAUCCUUUCUUUUUUAGUAACGAAAACUAGAUCUUACGGAGAUAAAUUGAUUUACCCAAAUUAUAUGGGAAUACUCUUGUUGUCCCGCCUUCAUCAUCUCCAAAUAACUACCUUAUGGCCAUGUAGGUCCCCUUCUAUGUAACUUACCAUACUUAGUGAUAUUUCACUCAAUGAAGGCAGAGUGUGCAAGAGGAUGGAGUCAGAGGUCAUUUCUUAGUUUCUGACUUGAGAAGUCAAAAUGUGCAUAUGCAUGCAUGCUCAGUUGCUCAGUCGUGUCCAACUCUUUUGUGAGCUCAUGUUCUAUA
Molecule: long non-coding RNA, 1445 nt
Organism: Bubalus bubalis (water buffalo)
Lineage: Eukaryota; Metazoa; Chordata; Mammalia; Artiodactyla; Bovidae
Exons: 5
Source: RefSeq, a predicted model, not a curated record